RNAcentral lists this ribosomal RNA (253 nucleotides) under uncultured bacterium. RNAcentral describes it as "partial 16S ribosomal RNA". It matches the Rfam family "Bacterial small subunit ribosomal RNA", at positions 524 to 776 of the family's 1533-position model. The record is from RNAcentral.
UACAGAGGUCUCAAGCGUUGUUCGGAAUUACUGGGCGUAAAGCGUGCGCAGGCGGCUUCUCAAGUCAGGGGUGAAAGCCCAGAGCUCAACUCUGGAACUGCCUUUGAGACUGAGAGGCUUGAGUACGGGAGAGGUGAGUGGAAUUCCCAGUGUAGAGGUGAAAUUCGUAGAUAUUGGGAAGAACACCGGUGGCGAAGGCGGCUCACUGGCCCGUAACUGACGCUCAUGCACAACAGCGUGGGGAUCAAACAGG